RNAcentral lists this ribosomal RNA (292 nucleotides) under uncultured bacterium. RNAcentral describes it as "partial 16S ribosomal RNA". It matches the Rfam family "Bacterial small subunit ribosomal RNA", at positions 505 to 796 of the family's 1533-position model. The record is from RNAcentral.
GUGUCAGCAGCCGCGGUAAUACAGAGGGUGCAAGCGUUAAUCGGAAUUACUGGGCGUAAAGCGUGCGUAGACGGUAGCGUAAGUCGGGUGUGAAAGCCCCGGGCUCAACCUGGGAAUUGCAUUCGAGACUGCUCUGCUAGGGUGCGGAAGAGGGGAGCGGAAUUUCCGGUGUAGCGGUGAAAUGCGUAGAUAUCGGAAGGAACACCAGUGGCGAAAGCGGCUCCCUGGUCCAGCACCGACGUUCAGGCACGAAAGCGUGGGGAGCAAACAGGAUUAGAAACCCCGGUAGUCC